Molecule: long non-coding RNA, 628 nt
Organism: Prunus persica (peach)
Lineage: Eukaryota; Viridiplantae; Streptophyta; Magnoliopsida; Rosales; Rosaceae
Exons: 2
Source: RefSeq, a predicted model, not a curated record
UCCUAACUGAGAGAAAAAGAAAAAAAAAUGUAAGAAAAAGAAAAGGAGGAGAAAAAAGAGGUGCAAUUUUAUAUUUGAGAAACGAAUAAACGAGACUUGCGUUAAGACACUCCCAAUAAAAUUCAAAGUGAUCUCUAACGCAGCGGCCAAAUUUUGUUGAAAGUCAAAGUUGCUAUUGACUUGAUAGGGUUGAGGUUUUGAGCUCUCUGCGUUUUUGCAAAUUGAGAUCUGAAAAUGGCAGGGGGAAUCGCAGCGGCAUCGUCACGUUUCUCGAAGCUUCCGAGGCCUCAAUCCUCCGAUGUAAAAGCGGUCGCUAUGUGGGGCGUCGCCGCCGGCACUGGCGCUCUUUGGUUCAUCCAGCCAUUUGAUUGGAUAAAGAAGACAUUUCUGGAGAAGCCUGUGACAAAUGAAGGCCAGUAAUUUGAAGAAGCUGGAUCUGGAGAGGAUUCACACAACAAAAGCAUUUUUCAUCUUCAAUUUAAGGAGAUUCUAAUUUCCAUCUGUUUCAAUAAUUGCUUGUUUUGUAAGCUAACAGAACAGAUUAUGAAUCUGUUUUGUUGAAACAUUUUGUUUGCCAUUUGCCUUGUGAUAUUAAUGCAAGUUCCAGUUUAGCUCUUCAAUUUCUUCA